CCUACGGGAGACAGCAGUCGAGAAUCAUUCACAAUGGGGGAAACCCUGAUGGUGCGACGCCGCGUGGGGGAAUGAAGGUCUUCGGAUUGUAAACCCCUGUCAUGUGGGAGCAAAUUAAAAAGAUAGUACCACAAGAGGAAGAGACGGCUAACUCUGUGCCAGCAGCCGCGGUAAUACAGAGGUCUCAAGCGUUGUUCGGAAUCACUGGGCGUAAGGCGUGCGUAGGCUGUUUCGUAAGUCGUGUGUGAAAGGCGCGGGCUCAACCCGCGGACGGCACAUGAUACUGCGUGACUAGAGUAAUGGAGGGGGAACCGGAAUUCUCGGUGUAGCAGUGAAAUGCGUAGAUAUCGAGAGGAACACUCGUGGCGAAGGCGGGUUCCUGGACAUUAACUGACGCUGAGGAACGAAGGCCAGGGGAGCGAAAGGGAUUAGAUACCCGAGUAGUC
This 446-nucleotide ribosomal RNA is filed under the name uncultured bacterium. RNAcentral describes it as "partial 16S ribosomal RNA". It matches the Rfam family "Bacterial small subunit ribosomal RNA", at positions 338 to 795 of the family's 1533-position model. The record is from RNAcentral.